Molecule: small nuclear RNA, 105 nt
Organism: Styela clava
Lineage: Eukaryota; Metazoa; Chordata; Ascidiacea; Stolidobranchia; Styelidae
Source: RefSeq, a predicted model, not a curated record
CUACUUUCCAGUGUACAUAUGAAAAAAUUGGAACGAUACCGAGAAGAUUAGCAUGGCCCCUUGCGCGAGGAUGACACGCACAACCGUGAAGCGCCGUUAGGUUAG